CAGUAGCCGCGGUAAUACAGAGGGUGCGAGCGUUAAUCGGAUUUACUGGGCGUAAAGCGUGCGUAGGCGGCUUCUUAAGUCGGAUGUGAAAUCCCUGAGCUUAACUUAGGAAUUGCAUUUGAUACUGGGAAGCUAGAGUAUGGGAGAGGAUGGUAGAAUUCCAGGUGUAGCGGUGAAAUGCGUAGAGAUCUGGAGGAAUACCGAUGGCGAAGGCAGCCAUCUGGCCUAAUACUGACGCUGAGGUACGAAAGCAUGGGGAGCAAACAGGAUUAGAGACCCCUGUAGUCCCUGUCUCUUAUAC
This 301-nucleotide ribosomal RNA is filed under the name uncultured bacterium. Its description in RNAcentral is "partial 16S ribosomal RNA". It matches the Rfam family "Bacterial small subunit ribosomal RNA", at positions 509 to 807 of the family's 1533-position model. The record is from RNAcentral.